Molecule: ribosomal RNA, 253 nt
Filed under: uncultured bacterium
Lineage: Bacteria
Description: partial 16S ribosomal RNA
Rfam family: Bacterial small subunit ribosomal RNA
Source: RNAcentral
UACGUAGGCAGCAAGCGUUGUUCGGAGUUACUGGGCGUAAAGAGUGUGUAGGCGGUGCUCUAAGUUCGGUGUGAAAUCUCCCGGCUCAACUGGGAGGGUGCGCCGAAAACUGGAGUGCUCGAGUACGGGAGAGGAAAGCGGAAUUCCUGGUGUAGCGGUGAAAUGCGUAGAUAUCAGGAGGAACACCUGUGGUGUAGACGGCUUUCUGGACCGUAACUGACGCUGAGACACGAAAGCGUGGGGAGCAAACAGG